RNAcentral lists this long non-coding RNA (390 nucleotides) under Olea europaea (common olive). RNAcentral describes it as "long non-coding RNA (OEUR_LNC004882)". Lineage: Eukaryota; Viridiplantae; Streptophyta; Magnoliopsida; Lamiales; Oleaceae. The record is from RNAcentral.
UGGACAUUCACUACAUUAUAUUAAGCCUUAUCUAUUGUAGAACUGUCUUCAAUUCCCCCCCGCAACUCAGGGGGUGGUACGUCCAAAUCCUCGAGAGGACGGAAAAAGGCCUUCUUCUCCAACACUGAAUCACCAUUAGCACUUAGAGGUUCCCCACCCAUAGCUGAUUUAUCAUUAUCAGUUGCAGGGCCGAACACCCCGGUCUCAGGGUGAGGUUCCCAGUAUUCGUCAGAUAGAGGAGAGAUUACAUCAUCCGGGACUGCAGCUGCUUGGGCAUUCUCCUCAACUACAUUCUCCUCAACAUUCUUGCUGUACACAGAAACAUGCACACCCCUGCAAAUCGGGAUAAAUUUUUACAUCACAAAUCUGAUAUCAAGGCAACAUGCAAAU